RNAcentral lists this ribosomal RNA (431 nucleotides) under uncultured bacterium. RNAcentral describes it as "partial 16S ribosomal RNA". It matches the Rfam family "Bacterial small subunit ribosomal RNA", at positions 29 to 507 of the family's 1533-position model. The record is from RNAcentral.
AACGAACGCUGGCGGCAGGCCUAACACAUGCAAGUCGAGCGCCCCGCCCGGGGGGCGGCGGACGGGUGAGUACCGCGUGGGAAUAUGCCCUUUGCUACGGAAUAGCCUCGGGAAACUGGGGGUAAUACCGUAUACGCCCUUUGGGGGAAAGAUUUAUCGGCGAAGGAUUAGCCCGCGUUGGAUUAGGUAGUUGGUGGGGUAAUGGCCUACCAAGCCGACGAUCCAUAGCUGGUUUGAGAGGAUGAUCAGCCACACUGGGACUGAGACACGGCCCAGACUCCUACGGGAGGCAGCAGUGGGGAAUCUUAGACAAUGGGGGCAACCCUGAUCAAGCCAUGCCGCGUGAGUGAUGAAGGCCUUAGGGUUGUAAAGCUCUUUCAGCUGGGAAGAUAAUGACGGUACCAGCAGAAGAAGCCCCGGCUAACUCCGUG